This is an RNA transcript of Ostrinia furnacalis (Asian corn borer), 2611 nucleotides long. It is a transcript of the gene named expansion, with no coding region annotated. The transcript has 9 exons. Lineage: Eukaryota; Metazoa; Arthropoda; Insecta; Lepidoptera; Crambidae. The record is from RefSeq and is a predicted model, not a curated record.
GGCCCAUUUGAGGCGGCGGCGGGUGCUGAGAUGGUGUCACGGCGUCGCAUUCUGUCGCGCUCCCGCGACGACCUCACGCAGGCCGCGCAGCUGGAAGAGGAGGAGGAUGUGUGGUACCAGAAGGAUAAACUCUAUAAGGAACAUAUACAAGAAGUGCUGGAUAAAUGGACUCAAAUCGACGAUGAGAUCUGGGCGAAGGUGAUAGUGUUCGAGAAGAACAGACGCGUUGCCAAAGCGUAUGCGCGUGCGCCCGUACUCACUAUCAACGGCUCAGAUGACGGAUUUGACGGCAUGAGAAUUGGCCUUUGCGGGUUCAACAAUCCACACAGAGAUCAGAAAACAGAUGAAGUGAAAAGGCAUAUAGGACAGGGUGUCAAAAUAAAGAUGGACGACGCCGGUAACAUACUCGUCAGGCGCUACUCCAAGAGUAGUGUGUUUGUGAAGAGUACAGCAGCCACCAGCAACGAAGAGACAGCUAUAGGACAGGACAUACUGAAACUGCCUGGCUACGCGCUGGAGCAGGAAAAAAUAUUUAAGUUAUUCGACAUGAAGAAAUUCCAGUCGAACGUGAACCGGGAGCUUCGCCGUGCGUACCCUGAUCGUCGGAGACUUGAGACGCAGUGCUUGAGCGCGGUGGCCUUCGUCAAGUCGGAGGGAGAGCUCCUGGAGUGCCCGAUAUGGGUGCUGGUCAUCAACGUCGUCGCUAUGGACAUGCUCAAGUCGAAGCUGCCUCCAGUCCAAAGACCCAUGGACAUCAAGAACCGGCCUCGCAUCCCGAUCCCGGAUGAAGACCCCUACAGCAUUGCCAGUUCAAACGCCAACGGCUCCGGGUCGAGCGGCAGUUCAGGCGGCUACGGCCACAACGGGCACGGCGUGGUCGCGGCUACGAGGGAGCAGCUGAUGAUGCAGAUGGGCCAGAGGAGAGGCGACAAGCCUCCCAAGCUGCCGCCUAGGGAGAAUGGCUACGGGCCCGCUGAUAUUCCCAAGCCGGACUACGACGACAUAGAGGAGAACGGGCGCGUCCCAACGCAGUUCCCGAGGGGCAAAUCUGACAAGGGCAAAGACAACAAGAAAUAUGAUGACCCGUACUACUGCGGUCUGCGCGCCCGCGUGCCCAACUUCGUAAAGACGAACGGGGCCAAAGUUCUGCCGGCGAUGACUGAGCGGCUGACCCUCAAGGAGGCGCCGAUGCCCGUUCCCAGCAAGCGCUACAGCGUGGCCCACGCCCACCCUGGCCCCUUCCCGCCACACAUGGCCCCUUUCGCCCACGCUCCCAUGCCCCCCGCGGCGCUCUGGCACGCUCGCUCCUACGAGAGCGGAAUCGGUGCGUACGAAAGACCCCCCAGAAAGGAAAAGCUCAUGUACCAAUUCUAUCCUAACAGGGACCAACGGCUGCGACCGAUCGUCAUCCAGCAACCGCGCUAGGUGUACAUAAGAUUAACCCCGCACUAAAAUCACACCGCCUCGGCGCGGAAUCUCCGCUCCAAUCUUGAUGGAGAUCACUAUGACCCAUACGCGAUAUACGGCAGACUACCCAUGCCUGGCCGCGGCUUCCCGCCUCCACCGGCACCCAACGCUCGCCACAUGUUCAUCGGAGAAUGGGACUAAACCCCAUCAAUUGCACUGGAGAAUACCACUAAAAACCACGAGACCAAUCUAUGACAUAAUCUAAAAAAUAUAAAUUAUUAUCGAGACAAUUGUCUGAAGAAAUUUUAGAAUCUGUAGCUUGAUUGAUUAUCUCAAAGGUUGACCUUGUGAUUGGUUUUACUGAAUAUGGUCACAUCGAUGUUAAACUUUCGAGUUUUCUAACAAAUAGACGUAGCGAUAUUCAGACAGUAUGCCCUGACAUGUAAAUAUAUAACACAGUUGUAAAUUAUUAGUCAAAUCGUUUUCUGUUUAUCGAUUUCAAAGCAGCUUUUGACAAUGUAUCACUCAAAAAUCGCUUUGAAGAGCAAACGAAUUGAACUGGGCAAUGCUGUAAAAUUACGAAUUUAGUUUUUAAAACCAUCGCAGACUUUAACUUGUGUAGUUUUUGUUGAUAAGAUUGAAGUUUGUAAGACGCGAAUUUUACCAUUUUGAUACAUGAUUAGAAUUAAGUAUUUAAGAUAUUGUGUGUUUUAAAUAAUCACUGCCACUUUCGACGAUAUCAGUGUGUUCAUACUUGAUUUUGUUUAUUAAGGUUUUUCUUUCUUAAUAUUUAAGGUGUCAAUCCUAGUCAAUACAGGGUUGGGAAUGAUUUAUUAGGAACUAGUAAAUGUUGAAAUCCAAAUUCGUGCAGUGUUCUCACACCUUCUGUCUCUUUUAUUUUCAUUUAUUUAAAAGAAAUAAAAGAUGUUACAGAGAACACACAGAGUAAAUUAAUACUGUAACAUCACAUAGAAAACGGCUUGUGACAUAAAUAAUGUAAUUUAUGUUUAAUAGUAUUUUCAAUUGACUAGCAACAACUUUGGAAUUUUCCGUGUAAAUACCAAGUUUUAUUUCAAAUUGUUUCAUAGUUUAGGAGUUAUUUUGUAUGUUUAUUAAUAAGUACCUUACAAGUCUUUGUCACAACAUAAGUUAAAUGUAAUCACAUACAUGUGUAGUUGUUAUAGAAAGCAAUAAUAUAAACUUA